Molecule: ribosomal RNA, 492 nt
Filed under: uncultured bacterium
Lineage: Bacteria
Description: partial 16S ribosomal RNA
Rfam family: Bacterial small subunit ribosomal RNA
Source: RNAcentral
AGUGAACGCUGGCGGUAGGCCUAACACAUGCAAGUCGAACGGCAGCACAGUAAGAGCUUGCUCUUACGGGUGGCGAGUGGCGGACGGGUGAGGAAUAAAUCGGAAUCUACUUUUUCGUGGGGGAUAACGUAGGGAAACUUACGCUAAUACCGCAUACGACCUACGGGUGAAAGCAGGGGAUCUUCGGACCUUGCGCGAUUGAAUGAGCCGAUGUCGGAUUAGCUAGUUGGCGGGGUAAAGGCCCACCAAGGCGACGAUCCGUAGCUGGUCUGAGAGGAUGAUCAGCCACACUGGAACUGAGACACGGUCCAGACUCCUACGGGAGGCAGCAGUGGGGAAUAUUGGACAAUGGGCGCAAGCCUGAUCCAGCCACACCGCGUGGGUGAAGAAGGCCUUCGGGUUGUAAAGCCCUUUUGUUGGGAAAGAAAAGCAGCAGGUUAAUACCCCGCUGUUCUGACGGUACCCAAAGAAUAAGCACCGGCUAACUUCGUG